GCCCCGGUAGCGCAGGCUGGGAGCGCGCCCGGCUGAAGACCGGGGUGUCGCCGGUUCAAGUCCGGCCCGGGGCA
This 74-nucleotide transfer RNA is filed under the name Candidatus Caldarchaeum subterraneum. RNAcentral describes it as "Candidatus Caldiarchaeum subterraneum (hot springs metagenome) tRNA-Phe". It matches the Rfam family "tRNA". From Rfam's summary of the family: Transfer RNA (tRNA) molecules are approximately 80 nucleotides in length. Their secondary structure includes four short double-helical elements and three loops (D, anti-codon, and T loops). Further hydrogen bonds mediate the characteristic L-shaped molecular structure. tRNAs have two regions of fundamental functional importance: the anti-codon, which is responsible for specific mRNA codon recognition, and the 3' end, to which the tRNAs corresponding amino acid is attached (by aminoacyl-tRNA synthetases). tRNAs cope with the degeneracy of the genetic code in two manners: having more than one tRNA (with a specific anti-codon) for a particular amino acid; and 'wobble' base-pairing, i.e. permitting non-standard base-pairing at the 3rd anti-codon position. Lineage: Archaea; Thermoproteati; Nitrososphaerota; Candidatus Caldarchaeales; Candidatus Caldarchaeaceae. The record is from RNAcentral. RNAcentral also lists the same sequence under 1 other name.